CAUUAUUGAAAUAAAAAAACUCAGGCAGGGGGGAGUGUGGUUGUAGCUGGCCCCCCUAAUAAGGGCAUGUGCACACCGUCUCUUUCUCUUGUUUGUUUUUUUUCAUUCUUUCCACUUGUGCACUGCUUGUAGGCAGCCUGGCAUUGUUCGGGUUGUCUAUGAUUUUCUUUUACAUACAUGAAUCAUUGUUGUACAGAAUGUGAUAAAAAUGAAUAAUACAACUUUCAACAACGGAUCUCUUGGCUCUCGCACCGAUGAAGAACGCAGCGAAAUGCGAUAAGUAAUGUGAAUUGCAGAAUUCAGUGAAUCAUCGAAUCUUUGAACGCAUCUUGCGCUCCUUGGUAUUCCGAGGAGCAUGCCUGUUUGAGUGUCAUUAAAUUCUGUCAAAACAUGCACUUGAGUGUGUUUUGGAUUGUGGGAGUGUCUGCUGGCUUUAUAUGAGUCAGCUCUCCUGAAAGACAUUAGCUUUGGAGGGAUGUGCCAAGUCACUUCUGCCUUUCCAUUGGUGUGAUAGAUGAAUAAACUUAUCUACGCCAGGAAAGCAGGUUGCAGGUGAUGCACUGUGAUCUCUCUGCUCUCUAAUUGACAUUUGUCUGAUAACUUGACCUCAAAUCAGGUAGGACUACCCGCUGAACUUAA
This 639-nucleotide ribosomal RNA is filed under the name uncultured Amanita. RNAcentral's name for it is "eukaryotic LSU rRNA". The stretch from base 220 to 373 matches the Rfam family "5.8S ribosomal RNA". Lineage: Eukaryota; Fungi; Basidiomycota; Agaricomycetes; Agaricales; Amanitaceae. The record is from RNAcentral.